Molecule: long non-coding RNA, 357 nt
Organism: Triticum aestivum (bread wheat)
Lineage: Eukaryota; Viridiplantae; Streptophyta; Magnoliopsida; Poales; Poaceae
Exons: 3
Source: RefSeq, a predicted model, not a curated record
GCCACAUAAUUGAGUUUUACUUUCUUUACUAUCAUGUACUAACUAUUCAUCUCAUAUUAUUCAAAACAGAUUAUUGAGCACCUCAUGAGUGACGUGGAGUACGUUCUACACAGACCUAUCUAUGCUAGCAAUGAAGGCCGAACGUUGCAACAAAUUCAUAGAACUGUGCAAGUAAUAGAGAAUAAAGUCAUUGAGAAAGAAUACACGGACGAAUACAAGUACUUCAAGCCACUUGUUGACGGUCUAACUGACGUUGAACACAAUACAAGCCUGACCAACAGAACCCUGCUUCGUGUUGUCAAGUGUUUGGAGGCUAAUAAGUUCGUUCUCCCCGAUAUAUCAGAUGAAGAAAUUGAG